UAUAUCAUGGCAUAAGCAUCAAGUUUCACACAUGUUUUAUAGAACAAAAGCCUGUCAUUGUGCAUAAGCUUGCAAAUCAAAAAGGGGCAAAUGCAUGUCUCUAAGAUCAACAAAGCUUCACCUCAUAGUUUUGCAUAAGUUUGCAAAUCAAAAGGCCACGUACAUGUGUUAAACAUCAACGAUGUCUCACCAACUUAGAGCAAUGGAUGUAGCUAGUUCUUGCCUAAACACAUCCAUGUCUUCACCAUUUUCCGCUAUAGUUGAUGUAUCCGAUGCAUGUGAAGGAACAACAAAUUUCUUGUAUCGUUCCGGAAUUGUCGGCACAUAGUCCGGGUCCCUGUCACAUCGAACAAAGUGAAUAUCUUCUUCAUCAUGGAAGCGAACAUAGUUGUGCAAAGUCAUAGUAGCGGCAACAAUCAUCUUUUGUAUUUCGAUGGAGUAGCUUGGCAUCUUUAGAAGAAUCUGACAUUUCAUCUUCCACACUCCAAAGGCUCUCUCUAUGCAAUUGUGUUUGGACGAGUGGAGCCUAUUGAACUUUUCUUUAGGAGUAUUGGGUGGAACAACUCUAUGAAAGUCAGACACAUGAUAUCGUUCACCUUUGUAUGGUGUGAGAUAUCCCUUUCUAUUAGGAUAGCCAGCAUCCACAAGGUAGUACUUGUCUACGAAAAAUAUGUGAGAAGAAUUAAUGUUAGAAUUGGCAUGCAUGAAAUGAGUUCUAACAUUCUGAGUCAUGGGGGAAGAGGGCCUUGUCCGCAUGCUCACCCUUUGGAUGGGGGAAGGUGGCCUUGUCCGCAUGCAUUGCAUGAAAUAGCACACUUGUGUCAUGCAUAGAACCAGGUUGUCCAAUUGAAGCAUAAGUGAAAUGCAUAUCAAAGUCACAUAUUGCCAUCACAUUCUCAGUGACUGCGCCUGUCCUUCCAAUAUAUCUGAUUUGCUUGUCUUCUGGAAUCGAAGCUCUAAUGUGAGCCCCAUCUAUUGCACCAAUGCAGUCUUUCAUGUGUGGAUAUGCUCGUUUAUCACCAAGGAUCCUUUGAUGCACAGUGUGAAAAUUGGGGUCUUUCGGCUUGAGGUAGUGACAAGACAUCCUGACCACACAAUGCAGUACCUCAUGGAACUUGCGGUGGAUAGUGUCAGGUGAAUGUUUGAAACGGUUUUGGGUCCUUCUAUUUGAUUCACACCCCCCAAGGUCCACAAGAACAUAGCAAGAGACUCGUAGCUGCUAACAAAUGGAGAAUAACCGAGCCCAUAGUCCUUCACCAACAAGUCAUGAAGUUCAAAGAAAACUCUUGUCUUCAUUCUGAACAUUGUAAAGGGGUCAAAUGCACUAGGGGUCAAGAUUUUGUUUGGCCUAUUUCCAGCCUUCACUUGCGUGACCAUCAAGUUGGUAACGAUCCUAGUGUUCUCUUCAUCCCACUCGGCAGUCAUGCUCGAAGACAUGCUCUGAACUUGACUAUAAAAAAUAUGUGAGUGCUUAACUAUAAAAGACAUGUACAAGUGUUGCUGCUGUCAUUAAUUAUGUACUAGCAAAAUUUUAUUGUUGUACUAAACAUACAUAGCAACAAAAUGCAUCACUAUCCAUGAGCAUGUACUGAACAUGCAGCAGCAGAGAAUGUACAAAACAUUUACAUUUUUUUCAGUCCCCUUCCUAUAAUCUACAGGCAACACAUCACCUAGCAGAGAAUGUAAAAUUACCAAAGCACAUCACCAAAUCCUACAACUAUCACCAUGUACAUCACAAAAUCCACCAUGAGCAUGUAUAGGGAGAGGUGGUCGGGCAGCAAAUCACCUUCCACAAAUGAGAAGAGGUGCACGGGGAGGUGGAGGAGCUCGAUUAACGGCAGAGAAGCUCGUCGCUGAUGGACAGUGCUCGAAUCGCGGCGGCGGAUCUGGUCGGCGAUGGUGGCGAAACAGGGUGGACAGGGGCAGGGAAGCUCGUCGCUGAUGGCGGCGGACCUGGUCGGCGACGGUGGCAAAAGAGGGCGAGCAUGGCGGGGAAGGGUGGGUCACGUCAUGGACUAGCAGCGGGGGAGAGCGUGGCCGCCGGCGGUCGAGGUGCUUUGCGCCAUCGCCUGAGGCUUGCGGCGGCUAGGGUUGGGGAGGGGGAAGAGGAGUCAUGGGACAGGAUGGGCUCGAG
This 2134-nucleotide long non-coding RNA is filed under the name Triticum aestivum (bread wheat). RNAcentral describes it as "long non-coding RNA (TAES_LNC012580)". The record is from RNAcentral. Lineage: Eukaryota; Viridiplantae; Streptophyta; Magnoliopsida; Poales; Poaceae.